GGGGGAUAACCUUCGGAAACGGACGCUAAUACCGCAUACGUCCUACGGGGGGAAGCGGGGGACCUUCGGGCCUCGCGCCAUUAGAUGAGCCUAGGUCGGAUUAGCUAGUUGGUGAGGUAAUGGCUCACCAAGGCUACGAUCCGUAACUGGUCUGAGAGGAUGAUCAGUCACACUGGAACUGAGACACGGUCCAGACUCCUACGGGAGGCAGCAGUGGGGAAUAUUGGACAAUGGGCGAAAGCCUGAUCCAGCCAUGCCGCGUGUGUGAAGAAGGUCUUCGGAUUGUAAAGCACUUUAAGUUGGGAGGAAGGGUAGUAACUUAAUACGUUGCUACUUUGACGUUACCGACAGAAUAAGCACCGGCUAACUUUCGUGCCAGCAGCCGCGGUAAUACGAAGGGUGCCAAGCGUUAAUCGGAAUUACUGGGC
Molecule: ribosomal RNA, 428 nt
Filed under: Pseudomonadales bacterium HD-OI-02-12
Lineage: Bacteria; Pseudomonadati; Pseudomonadota; Gammaproteobacteria; Pseudomonadales
Description: bacterial SSU rRNA
Rfam family: Bacterial small subunit ribosomal RNA
Source: RNAcentral